This 3433-nucleotide long non-coding RNA is filed under the name Salmo salar (Atlantic salmon). RNAcentral describes it as "lncRNA (ENSSSAG00000103079.1)". The record is from RNAcentral. Lineage: Eukaryota; Metazoa; Chordata; Actinopteri; Salmoniformes; Salmonidae.
UGGUUUUUAACCUUAUGGUCCACUUAGCCUACAACAAGUCACAGUAAAACAUGAACAUUUUUAACCAUAACAUUUUAUACAUUUUUUUUGUAUAAAAUCUAAAUGGACCAAAAAGAGACAAUAAAAUAAACUGUCAAUGGCAAUGUGAGAAAAUUAUGGUAACUAAUCUGGCCCAAAUUCAGGUAUUUUUUUUAAAUGUAAACCAGGGCGGGAUAAGCCAGCGGGGGCUUCCAGCAUGCGCGAUUCAUUUGCAGUCUGGACGCAGAGGGAUGAGCAUCUCCUGCUCUGACUGCAGCUGGGAGGGACUGCUGUGCGAGGACUGGGCUGCCUGUGAGUGCUUUGGGAUAGGCUGCUCGUUGAGAAGAGCAGAGCAGGCAACAGAUGGCACAGACAGCAGAGUUGGGGACAGAUGCAGGGACAGACUGGCAGAGACAGGAAGUCUCAGCUCUGGGGAACAGGGGAAGGAGCCUCCAGGACCCAGGCCACUGCCACUGCUUGGUAACAUGCUCCAGCUGGACCUCAAGAAGCCCUACUGCACUCUCUGCGAGGAUACAAGACGGUCAAGCAGGCGCUGGUGAAUCAGGACUUUGGGGACCGGGACAUCACUCCUGUGCUCAGUGAACUAAACCAAGGACAUGGGAUUCUGUUUUCCAAUGGAGACUCAUGGAAAGAGAGGCUCUUUGCCCUGACAAACCUUAGACUUUGGGAUGGGCAAGAAACUGAGCAAGGAGAAAAUCUUAGAGGAAAUUCACUACCUGACUGAAGUGUAUGAAAAACCUGAGGGUAAGGCAUUUGACACCGCCCAGCCUAUGAUUUAUGCCGUCUUCAACAUAAUCUCGGCCAUUGUCUAUGGCAGAAGGUUUGAAUACACUUACCAGAAUUUGCAUCUCAUGCAUAUUUAAUAACGUGUUGAAUUAAUAUUGCUCAGUAUAACUAUAGAAUCGAAUUAAUCGAUAAGGUUCGAGGGGCUGUGGUAUAUUGGCCAUAUACCACAAACCCAAAGGUGCCUUGUUGGUACUAUAAACUGUUAACCAACAUAAUUAGAACGGUAAACUAGUAAUUUUGCAUCAUACCGGCCAAUCAGCAUCCAGGAUCCAAAAAAGAAAAGAAAACCAGCCCUGUCGCAGACCACGAUGUCUUACUCCCAGACAAACGAAAUAACUUAUUUUCUCGCUUUGAGGACAAUACAGUGCCACCGACACGGCCCGCUACCAAAACCUGCGGGCUCUCCUUCACUGCAGCCAACGUGAGUAAAACAUUAAAACGUGUUAACCCUCACAAGGCUGCCGGCCCAGAUGGCAUCCCUAGCCGCGUCCUCAGAGCAUGCGCAGACCAGCUGGCUGGAGUGAGUACGGACAUAUUCAACCCUUAUCCCAGUCUACUGUUCCCACAUGCUUCAAGAGGGCGACCACUGUUCCUGUUCCCAAGAAAGCUAAGGUAAUUGAGCUAAAUGACUAUCACCCCGUAGCACUCAAUUCCGUCAUCACGAAGUGCUUUGAGAGGCUAGUCAAGGACCAUAUCACCUCCACCCUACCUGACGCCCUAGACCCACUCCAAUUUGCUUACCACACCAAUAGGUCCACAGACGAUGCAAUCGCAAUCACACUGCACACUGCCCUAACCCAUCUGGACAAGAGGAAUACCUAUGUAAGAAUGCUGUUCAUCGACUACAGCUCAGCAUUUAACACCAUAGUACCCUCCAAACUUGUCAAUAAGCUCGAGACCCUGGGUCUCGACCCCGCCCUGUGCAACUGGGUCCUGGACUUCCUGACGGGCCGCCCCCAGGUGGUGAGGGUAGGAAACAUCUCCACCCCGCUGAUCCUCAACACUGGGGCCCCACGAGGGUGUGUUCUCAGCCCUCUCCUGUACUCCCUGUUCACCCAUGACUGAGUGACCAUGCACGCCUCCAACUCAAUCAUCAAGUUUGCAGACAGUGGUAGGCUUGAUUACCAACAACGCCGAGACGGCCUACAGGGAGGAGGUGAGGGCCGGGGUCAGGAAAAUAACCUCAUACGCAAUGUCAACAAACUAAGGAGAAGAUCAUGGACUUCAGGAAACAGCAGAGGGAGCAGCCCCCUAUCUACAUUGACAGGACAGUAGUGGAGAAGGUGGAAAGUUCCUCGGCGUACACAUCAUGGACAAACUGAAAUGGUCCACCCACACAGACAGCGUGGUGAAGAAGGCGCAGUAGCGCCUCUUCAACCUCAGGAGCCUGAAGAAAUUCGGCUUGUCACCAAAAACACUCAAACUUUUACAGAUGCACAAUCGAGAUGCACAUUGAGGUCUGCACAACGCAUCACUGGGGGCAAACUAAUUGCCCUCCAGGACACCUACACCACCCGAUGUCACAGGAAGGCCAUAAAGAUCAUCAAGGACAACAACCACCCGAGCCACUGCCUGUUCACCCCGCUAUCAUCCAGAAGGCGAGUUACUACCCUGUUUGGUGCUGGUACCGACACCACCGGGACAACCCUGCGCUGGGGUCUGCUGCUGAUGGCCAGGUACCCCCAUAUACAGGGUAAGGAUUGAUGUAAACACAAACGCAUGCACGCACACUCACCACAGGCUGCUGAGGGGAGGACGGCUCAUAAUAAUGGCUGGAAUGGAGUGGUACCGACACCACCGGGACAACCCUGCGCUGGGGUCUGCUGCUGAUGGCCAAGUACCCCCAUAUACAGGGAAAUGGAUUCCUGAAAUGCUCUACAAGCAGCUGAUUGGUCAGCCCCAUUGAUGAUUGGAUAGCUGACCCCGCCCCCUCGUCAGGACGCAGCUGUCUCCAAUUACCAACUCCUUCUGAAGCUUUAUAAGCCAGUGUUCUGUUCCUCAGAAGGGAGAUGAUUGCUGAGAGAGAGAGGAGGCUGAUGGCUAUUAUGUUGGUUGUUGCUGGGGAGCUGAUUGGUAAAUUCUUUGUUGUUCAGAGUUUGGUUAAGUAUUGUGUAGGAGCUGAUUGGUUAUGUCUGUUGUGUCAAUAGGACGAAGUGUUUUGAUUAUUGAAAUUGUUUGAGUUAUUCUGUUGCAUUUGUUCCCAGGGGGGAAGGGGAAGGCACCUAGGGAGUGCUUAGGCAAGAGACCCACGGGCAUACAUAACCUGUAGUAUUUACUGUCUAUGCACACUAGGAAAGAUCUGGGUGGACCAUCCCCUGUAUUUUGGUUAGUGCACCAAGUGGUGUUAGUUAGGUAAGUAGUGGGUAGGCAGGUAAGGUGUGGGGGGGGCUUUGAUAUUUAAUUUCUUUGCUUUGGUUCCGUCCAGCCCAUUCCCAAAAAUUACCGUGCGACAGAAUAAAUUCCCUCUAAAUGGUAAUUCUCUGCCUUUUGUCAUCCUUACUCACACCUACAGUCCAUACCUCUUUCACACCACGGAGAGUUGAGUUGUAGCAGGGUGUUGCGUUACCUCUUCCUAGAGGCGUGCGUAACAGAGAGAAGUGGCUUCUUU